Eucalyptus grandis is the source of this 1064-nucleotide long non-coding RNA. RefSeq lists it as uncharacterized. Lineage: Eukaryota; Viridiplantae; Streptophyta; Magnoliopsida; Myrtales; Myrtaceae. The record is from RefSeq and is a predicted model, not a curated record. The transcript has 2 exons.
GAUCCGUUUAGGAUUUUCUUGAGCACCCCAGAUUAAUCAUGAGAAAACAUUGGCCACAUGAGAUGUGCCAACACAAUAAUACAGCAUGUGUCACAAGUAAGGCCAAGUGUCAGGGAAAAAAAUUCUCUCUCCCCUACACGCUCUCUCAGUCUCUCUCUAGCCGAACUCCCUCUCUACUUCGCUGCCCCUCUCUGUCCCACCGACUUGUCCGACCGACAAAUCACCACACCGCUCCUCCAGUUCCUGCUUGUCCUACUCUCUCUCUCUCUCUCUCUCUCUCGCCCCCCAUCUCCCCGCCCAAUGCUCUCGACUCUACCCCACUCUCUCCCUCUAACAAACCACCGAGCCCUCGUCCGACCAACGAGCCAUUGUGCCGCCCCUCCAACUCGUCCGUUGCCUCCAUCGUCGCCAAAUUGCUGCCCCUUCGCAUCUAUGCCCUCCCUCUCUCCCUUCAAGUCGCGACCAAACCCUCGUCUGACAAACCACUGUGCAAUCUCUACUUCCGUCUUGAAAGGCGUCUGGUGGCCCGUUGGAUGAUGAGCUGGGAACACGACAAACUCUUCUUCUAGGAUAUCAGGUGGUCUUGCUCCACCAUAUUGGUGGAUCCGCUACAUACAGCAUUACCCGGCGCGUAGCCUCCGCUGUUGUUUGGCGGUUGGAAUAUGGCAACAAUAAGUUCCGCACUAAAACCCGCACUGGUAAUUCGGUAUUGCACUCCGAAUGUUUGCGCCGUGACCUCUUCGCCUGUUCAAAUCUGGAUAUGGAGUUUUGUUAUGGGGGUUAGACGGGUAAAGUUUUUGGUGUUGAGCUAAUUGGCAAAACGAAGUGAAUGGAUAUGUUAGUUUGAUUUGAUUUGGUUUGUAGAUGGUUGUGAAAACCCCACAUUUAAAGAGAAGUUGUGUUCACACUCGUUAAAGAGCUUAGGGAGUUGAAUCUUGUGACGUGGAACCGGCACCAUCCUCACUUUUGACAACCUCGUCAACGGUGGAAAGUAAUUGCUUCCUACUUUGAAUCCAUUUUGCUAACAAAACUGUUGUUGAGUUGUUUUGGAUUUUGAUCCUUGA